Molecule: ribosomal RNA, 436 nt
Filed under: uncultured bacterium
Lineage: Bacteria
Description: bacterial SSU rRNA
Rfam family: Bacterial small subunit ribosomal RNA
Source: RNAcentral
UGGGGAAUAUUGCACAAUGGGCGCAAGCCUGAUGCAGCAACGCCGCGUGCGGGAAGACGGCCCUAGGGUUGUAAACCGCUUUCAGGAGGGAAGAAAAUGACGGUACCUCCAGAAGAAGGUGCGGCCAACUACGUGCCAGCAGCCGCGGUGACACGUAGGCACCAAGCGUUAUCCGGAUUUAUUGGGCGUAAAGAGCUCGUAGGCGGUUCGGUAAGUCGGGUGUGAAAUCCAAGGCUCAACCUUGGACGCACCCGAUACUGCUGUGACUAGAGUGCGGUAGGGGAGCGGGGAAUUCCUGGUGUAGCGGUGAAAUGCGCAGAUAUCAGGAGGAACACCAGUGGCGAAGGCGCCGCUCUGGGCCGUAACUGACGCUGAGGAGCGAAAGCAUGGGUAGCAAACAGGAUUAGAUACCCUGGUAGUCCAUGCCGUAAACGUU